CCAAUUUUUGUGAUGCUUGAUUCAGCUUGAAGGCUUGAACUGAGUGAGUCUGAGUGUCUAUAUAUUUAUCAGUAGUACUGGAGUAACUGAUGGAUCAGUGAUACAAUCAUUGAUACAAGUUAUGACUGAUGAGAAUUACCAGCUCACUGGACCCUGACUCUAAGAAUCUGAAGAGUUAUUACGUGUGUAUCCUUCAUAUAUAAAUUAUUUUGAAGUCACUAAGGAGGCUCUCAGUUCCUGUGAUCG
Amphimedon queenslandica is the source of this 246-nucleotide long non-coding RNA. RefSeq lists it as uncharacterized. The transcript has 3 exons. Lineage: Eukaryota; Metazoa; Porifera; Demospongiae; Haplosclerida; Niphatidae. The record is from RefSeq and is a predicted model, not a curated record.